ACCCUGGAACCAACCUCAGGGAAGAGCA
RNAcentral lists this transfer RNA (28 nucleotides) under Crocodylus johnstoni (Johnstone river crocodile). RNAcentral describes it as "Crocodylus johnsoni (Johnstone river crocodile) partial tRNA-Gly". The record is from RNAcentral. Lineage: Eukaryota; Metazoa; Chordata; Crocodylia; Crocodylidae.